CCUACGGGCGGCAGCAGUCGAGAAUCAUUCACAAUGGGGGAAACCCUGAUGGUGCGACGCCGCGUGGGGGAAUGAAGGUCUUCGGAUUGUACACCCCUGUCAUGUGGGAGCAAAUUAAAAAGAUAGUACCACAAGAGGAAGAGACGGCUAACUCUGUGCCAGCAGCCGCGGUAAUACAGAGGUCUCAAGCGUUGUUCGGAAUCACUGGGCGUAAAGCGUGCGGAGGCUGUGACGUAAGUCGUGUGUGAAAGGAGAGGGCUCAACCCGCGGACGGCACAUGAUACUGCGAGACUAGAGUAAUGGAGGGGGAACCGGAAUUCUCGGUGUAGCAGUGAAAUGCGUAGAUAUCGGGAGGAACACUCGUGGCGAAGGCGGGUUCCUGGACAUUAACUGACGCUGAGGCACGAAGGCCAGGGGAGCGAAAGGGAUUAGAUACCCCAGUAGUC
This 446-nucleotide ribosomal RNA is filed under the name uncultured bacterium. Its description in RNAcentral is "partial 16S ribosomal RNA". It matches the Rfam family "Bacterial small subunit ribosomal RNA", at positions 338 to 795 of the family's 1533-position model. The record is from RNAcentral.